GGAAGGUCCGGGCGNUAUCCGGAAUUACNGGGUUUAAAGGGAGCGUAGGCCGGAGANUAAGCGNGUNGUGAAANGNAGACGCUCAACGUCUGCACUGCAGCGCGAACUGGUUUCCUNGAGUACGCACAAAGUGGGCGGAAUUCGUGGUGUAGCGGUGAAAUGCUUAGAUAUCACGCAGAACCCCGAUUGCGAAGGCAGCCUGCUAAUCUGCGACUGACAUUGAGGCUCGAAAGUGUGGGUAUCAAACAGGAUUAGAUACCCUGGUAGUCCACACAGUAAACGAUGAAUACUCGCUGCUGGCGAUAUACGGUCAGCGGCCAAGCGAAAGCAUUAAGUAUUCCACCUGGGGAGU
RNAcentral lists this ribosomal RNA (352 nucleotides) under uncultured bacterium. RNAcentral describes it as "partial 16S ribosomal RNA". It matches the Rfam family "Bacterial small subunit ribosomal RNA", at positions 527 to 881 of the family's 1533-position model. The record is from RNAcentral.